GACAGAGGGUGCAAACGUUGUUCGGAAUUACUGGGCGUAAAGCGCGUGUAGGCUGCUCAGAAAGUCGGAUGUGAAAGCCCUGGGCUUAACCUAGGAAGUGCAUUCGAAACUUCUGAGCUUGAGUUCUGGAGAGGAAGGCGGAAUUCUCGGUGUAGAGGUGAAAUUCGUAGAUAUCGAGAGGAACACCGGUGGCGAAGGCGGCCUUCUGGACAGUGACUGACGCUGAGACGCGAAAGCGUGGGGAGCGAACAGG
RNAcentral lists this ribosomal RNA (253 nucleotides) under uncultured bacterium. Its description in RNAcentral is "partial 16S ribosomal RNA". It matches the Rfam family "Bacterial small subunit ribosomal RNA", at positions 524 to 776 of the family's 1533-position model. The record is from RNAcentral.